CCCGCCGCGCCCCGCCCCUCCGCCCGCGCUCGCCCAAUCAGCGCUCGGCUCCGCCCCGCCGGCUGUCCGGGAGCGGCGCGGCCCCGGCGGGCCGGGGAAGGCGGGGGGCGGGCGGUGAGCGGCCGCAGGCGGCCCGGGUUUCCCAGAAGCGGGCGGAGCUUCCUGCCAAGCAGCCCGCCUCCCACUCCGCUUCCGCCGCCGCCGCCGCGCUGCGCAUGCGCCCGGGCUGCCGGAGGGGCGCUGUGAGGACAGCGGCGCGGGGGAGCUCAGUGCGCAGGCGCGGGGCGGGAGAGGGGCGGGGCGCGCGCGCGGCGUGACCGUUAAACGGCCGCGCGUCUCCUCACGAUCGUCCCGCUGCGCCUCCCGUCCGGUGCCUUAGCCGGUUUCCCCGCCGCUCGCUUGGCCGGCAGCGCCUCUGGCCGCCUCCCCGGGGCCCGUUUAUGCUCUUGGGGCCCCGCCGCCUCGUCAGGGAGGCGGGAACGGGCCGGAGCGGCGCUGGUUGGGCUGCCGGGUCGGUAGUGUGGCUGCUGGCCGGCUCGGUGUCUUGUGUGCUGGGGUAACGCUGUGGCGGCUGCACAAGUUUUCCCAAGAAAAUAAGUGGGAUUUGCCUGUACGGGGCUGCAAGAGCGUGUACCUUUGCAGGAGGAGGCUGGAGCUGCUGCGUAAUAACAUUAUAUUUGUAAACUGCCUCAUUCGAGACUUUCAAAUUAAGCUGCUUUUGGCUCAAGAAGGUGCAGCUUUUUAUUGGCUUUUUUUGUUGCUGUUUGUUUCCCUGUUUUGAGACUGUUACCUUUCAGCAGUUCAGUGCUCAGCAAGGCUGCGGGCAGGGGUGUCUGUGAUGUUAGAGCCGCACCAGGAGCGUGGGAGGGAUGAGGAUGAUCCUCCACCCAGACCCCUGGGAGGCGUCAGUCCUGUGGAGAGAACGUGUGUGAGGAGGAUGACUCACGGUUCUGGCAAAGACUCCGUGUAUGAAAACCGCUGCGAUGGUGCUCUGAGCAAUCCUGAAAUUUGCAGUAGCAGGAUCCUGUGUCCCUCACCUUCAGCACAACUGGCUCCAACAGGUGCUGCUUCUGCUCAGACUCUUCAUGCAGCUUGGAGACAACUUGUCAGCCCUGAGAGCUCUUUCCUGAGAGAACAGAGCUAUAUUGUGUUGUAAAAUAAUCCUCUGUUGCCUGAUUAUAGUGGAAAACUAGAGUUAAAUGGCCUUGCCUGGGUGGGUGUGUCUGCGGUGGAUGAAGAACUGGCUGGAGGACCGGGCCCAAAGAGUUGUGGUGAACCACCAAAUCCAGUUGGUGGCCGGUCAGGAGUGGUGUCCCCAGGGAUCAGCAUUGGGGCCAGUUCUGUUUAAUCUCUUUAUCAAUGAUCUGGAUGAGGCGAUCAAGUGCACCCAUAGUAAGUUUGCAGUUGACACCAAAUUGGGUGGGAGUGUUGAUCUGCUGGAGCGUGGGAUGGUCAUACAGAGGGAUCUGGACUGGCUGGAUCAAUGGGCUGAGGCCAGUUGUCUGAGGUUCAACAAGGGCAAGUGCUGGGUCCUGCACUUGGGUCACAACAACCCCAUGAACACUCCAGGCUCAGGGAAGGGCAGCUGGAAAGUGCCCGGCACAGAGGGAUCUGGGGGUGUUGGUGAGAGCGGCUGAACAUGAGCCAGCGUGUGCCCAGGUGGCCAAAAAGGCCACAGGAUCCUGGCUGGUACCAGCACUGGUGUGGCCAGCAGGACUGGAGAAGUGAUUGUGCCGCUGUACUCAGUGCUGGUGAGGCCGAACCUUGAAUCCUGUGUUCAGUUUUGGUCCCCUCAUCAUGAGAAGGAUGUUGAAAUACUGAUGAGAGUGCAGAGAAGGGAACGGAGCUGGUGAGGGGCUGGAGCACAAGUGUGAUGGGAGCGGCUGAGGGACCUGGGGGGUUCAGCUGGAGAACAGGAGCUGAGGGGAGACCUUCUGAUCUCUGAACUGCCUGAAAGGAGCUCGGAGCCAGGGGGGUCGGGCUCUGCUCCCCAGGAACAAGCGCCAGGAGCAGAGGAAACGGCCUCAAGUUGCGCCAGGGGAGGUUGAGGUUGGAUGUGGGAACGAUUUCUUCCCCAAAGGGCUGUGGGGCAUUGGAACAGGCUGCCCAGGGCAGUGCUGGAGUCACCAUCCCUGGAGGGGUUUAAAAGACGUUUAGAUGAAGUUCUUAGGGACAUGGGUUAGUGCUGGAGUUGGGUUAUGGUUGGACUUGAUCAUCCUGUGGUUCUUUUCUGACUGAAAUGAUUCUAUGAUUCUAAAUGAACCUGUCACAGUAGGUCACUAUUGUGCCUAGGGAAAUACUGUGUCAACAGGUGAUACAAAUACUAAGUGGAAAUAGAGGGUGCUGGGAGUGGAGCUGCUGUCAGGUCAGCUCUUGCCAGGAGUUUGUCAGUAAUUACAGGUGGUUUUGGUCCUUCCUGCAGGGCGCGAGCUGUGGUCAGCUCUGAGUGGGGUGAAUGGAGCUUCAGGGAUGGUUCCUGUUCUGUGUUCUCCUGCACUCGGGCAGCACGUUAUGGUGACAGAACCUGAGAUCCACCCAGGCUCCAGCAUCCCCUGAGCAAAGAAUCAUCCUCAUGUUCAAGCAGUAGGAAAACCUCAAGUGAGGGAGGAGUUGCGGUAAUUACUGGUCAUGUCUUUUUCAACCUUUCCUGAUAUCUUACGCUUGCUUAAAAAGUGUGGGAUGUCUGCAGGUGAAGAUAGAGAACUGUGAGAGAAUUUUUUACAAGGCAAUGUUUUUCAGAAGUUGGAAUAAUUGGACAACAGUCCUGCCUUUAAGAGUCCGAGGGAGUCUUUGUUAUGUUAUUUUUGCCAGGGUAGUUGAGGUGAUCAUACUGUUGCAUAUAGCGGUAUUUAGGACCUUGAUAUUUUUACAACAGUGGAAAAAAAUUAAACUUUUAAGAAAAUCUAAUGGGCCUUAAUACUAAUUCUGUGGGUUUUGAACAAGCCACAGUUUCCAUUGAAGUUACAUUCUGUAAUUGCAGUCUGAAGAGGGCAAAACGACAGCACACGGGACGGAGAGCUCAACAAGCAUGUGUGGAACCCGUUACAAGCCCAGGUCCAGUAUUGAAACCCAGAACACUCUGCUUUUCUUUUGUGGCUGAGUUAUGUGAGCUGAGUCAAUGGUCUCAAUCAGCUGGAAGCUGUGAAGAAUGUCUUGAAAGCAUGAACAGAGUGUAAAUAAUGUAAUAAUGCCUGCUCCAGUAAGCCAGCAGUAUGCAGUAAGAGCUGAGUGGGCGUGCGGUAAUAGCUCGGAGAUGUGAAGAGUCCAUUAGCUGGAAGUAACAGGAGCAGGUACUGAUCUGUCAGAGCGCUUCUGACAGCUCUUCGGCAGCAAAAGCGUGUUUGAAAAGGGGAGAAGGCAGCGUGUCCUGCCAGCGGAGCAGGGGCAGGGCUGGGGAUCACACCGGCCGCCCGCCCUCUGUCCAUUCACCAGGACACCGACAGCAAAGCUCUGGUUUCUUCGCAGCAAUAAAACCCACAGGUAGUUCCCACCAUGAGUACAAACGGGGUGAAUGCAAAUAGAACUGUGUUCCUCUUUAUGUGAAUCGCACAGAGUGUAUCAGUUACUCGAUUUGGAGAGUUCACACAAAUAAUUGCAUUAGUAAUCGAUGCAAAAUAUGUGGAGCCCUUCCCUUUGGGUGACCCAAUAAUGUCAAGACCUACUUCUCAGAAUGUGAGCUGUGAUUAUGGCUACAGCUCAGAGAGCAUAGUUUGUUUCACAAGAGGCUUUUUGUUCCUGCCUGGCUUGGUUAUGGUGAUCCACUCUGGGACCACUGAUCAAAAAAAAGCUUUUCACUUGCAGUUUUUGAUCUAUCAUUCCAAGUUUAGUGCUCAGUGUGGGUGUGUGAGCACUGUGUUACAAGUUCAGAGCUGUAAGAGACUUGACCCAGGUGGACUUUUGGCAGUGUGAGCUUCAGUCUGGGUUUAGAGGUGGGGACAGCUCACACCCCCUUGGCUGAUCUUCAGCCUCUUCCCACCAACCCAGCUGUGGCACAUCACCAGUUCACAGAGGAGAAUUCUGACCCCUGCCACCCUGACUGUAGGUGGCUACAGUCUGUGCUGUGUCAUAGAACUGGAGAAAGGUUUGUGUUGAAGGGACAUUCCCAGCUCCCCCAGUGCCCCCCUGCCAUGAGCAGGGGCAUCUUCACCAGCUCAGGUUGCUCAGAGCCCCGUCCAGCCUGGCCUGGGAUGUCUCCAGGGAUGGUUCAUCCACCACCUCUCUGGCCAACCUGGGCCAGGCUCUCACCACCCUCAGGGACAACAAUUCCUUCCUCAUGUUCAGCCUGAAUCUCCCUCCUUUAGUUUCAAACCAUCACCCCUUGUCCUGUCACAACAGGCCCUGCUCAAAAGUCUGUCCCCAUCUUUCUUCUCAGCCCCUUUUAAGUCCGGAAAGGCCGCACUAAGGUCUCCCCGGAGCUUCUCUUCUCUUCUGAACACCCCAACUCUCUCACCUGUCCCCAGCAGAGCUGUUCCAGCCUCGGAUCAUUCCUGUGGCUCCUCUGGCCCCUCUCCAGCAGCUCCAUGUGUGUCCUGUGCUGAGGACCCAGAGCUGGACCAGCACUGCAGGGGGGUCUGGCCAGAGGGGCAGAAUCCCAAACCUGCUGCCCAUGGGGCUGGGGAUGCAGCCCAGGGGACGGUUGGUUUUUGGGGAUGCAAGCACAUGCUGCUAAUCUCUCAUCCUCAUCCCUCUCCCAAAAACCCAGCUCCAGUCCUGUGUGCGCUGCCGAGCUGGUGGCACAGGCCUGUGGGUGUCUCUGCCUUGGCACCUGUAGUUGCUGUUGCCUUUGCCAGCAUCGCUCUUCUUGAUUCAAAGUCUCUCCUUGGAAAUAAUCCCCUACUUUGGUUUGUGCUGAAGUUGGGUGGGCAGCUACGCUGUGUGGAGUGACUCAGGACUUUGGGGGUGUGCAGUCAGGAGAAUGGUGUCCCCAGGAGCUGCAGGGCAGUCUGAGGGGACCCUCAUGGGGACAUGGGGAGAGCUCUGCCAGCAGAUAGCGUGGGUAACGGUGACAAAGCAAGAGGGAUUGAUGGGGCAGCUGCAGAAAUGCUGCUGCAGUGUGAGAGAGACAGGAGGUUUUACACCCAAGGGAACCCGGCUCAGACCCUGCGUGUUCUACUGAAACAGAGCCAGAAAGCGUAGAACGGGGUUCUUGCCUCUUCCAUUCCUCAGAACUUCAACCUGAAGCAACGGGUUGGAAACUUCACCAUUAAAAAGUUUCACUUCCCGAAUCGUGCUGUUGUAUAAACACGUGGUGCAGUGGGAUAUGACAUUUACUCCCACGCACGGCGUGCUUUGUGCCUCGCGUACACCAUCCCUUAACCCUUGAGCUGGCUGUGAGGAACCACCUCUGCGGCGGGGCAGACUCACCUUGCUUGCUGUUAAGUAAACGGCGGUAGAAUUGCACCCAGAAUUAUUGCAUUCAUAUGGGAAAACUCCCUUUUUCAAGCUCUGGGUAUCAUGAAGAUGUUGAAUUAGGUAUAGUGGUGCUUUAUGUGCGCCCUUAUAGACACAUCUCGGAGCACUUUCCUGCCCAAAACAAACAAAUUACUUAAGGCAGUUUGCUUUAAUUCCUGAUUCUGCUACUGAUUUAUGAUCCUUGGCAAAGUUCUUAGUUCCGGUCCCAUGUUAAACAGAUGCUGCUGCUUUUUUUUCCCAUUCUUUACAUCUUUUGUGUAUAUAUAUAUAUAUAUAUAGUGGAAACUCAACCAGGAGGCUCUGUCUUUGCAGGAUACACUGACUGAAGUGCUCAGGUGCUGAUGCUUUAUAAAUAUCCUAUGUAAAUAGAUAAGUAUCCUAUAUAAAUAGAUAAAUAUCCUCUAUAUAUGUCUAUCUCUAUAUGUCUCAGUGGGAGUAUGUUUAUAAUAUCCCUUUGUUAUUGCAAAAGAGAUGAAUACACCUAGAUUGUGAGAUUUAAAAAUCAAUGGCUCAUCUUAUCUCAUGCCCUUGCGUAACAGAGCUCCAAGCAAGCCGUCUAUCACAGCCGGACUUGAACUUGAACCGGGUUGGCCAAGCCGUCGGUGCUGCAGCUGUACCCCUGAGGUUUCUCUGGUGUUGAAAGAUGACGCAGAAGAGGAAUGAAUCCCAACAUUGGCAACAGGCUGGUUGUGUUAUCCCACUGGGGUGGGAGAUAGGAAAACGAAUUUAGGCCUUUGUAGAAUGGGUCUGAUCUGAUCACGGUUACACAACGUCGAUGUAAUUCCAUGCACCUGAAUGACAUAUUCGUGGCUUGUGUCAGUGACAAAUAAGAAACGGUCGCGAUGGCUCGCAAAGGUUUUUCAUCAGCUCUUCUGAAUACCAAAGAGUUCCAAUUAAUCGGAGUUUGGCCCCUGCAGGGAAUACGCUUCUGAAGAGCUUCCUCUUAUCGUUGCCAAAAUAUGAUCAAAUCGCUUUGUCUUUCUGAACAAGUUCUGCUUUUGGCUCUGGUCUAUCGGCAGGAAACACAUGUCAGCGCUUUAGCAGCCGUGUGUCCUGUUCAGAACGAGCUCUCGGUCCGAGCGGGUGCGGACGGAGCGGGGCCGGCGUUUGCUCCUUUACGGGCAGGAGGAUCGAGCGCACGUUGAUUUUUGCCUCUGUGCUCUGCAGGUCGUCUGAGGAUUUCAGCGCUUCCCAAAACCGCUUUUGUGAAGCUGAAUCUUCAUCAGGUUCUUCUGCAGAGGCACUGGCUCAAGCGUGUGAAAAAGAGGAAAUGAGCACUGGAAAGAUCAAGCCAAGAUUAUUAAAAGCAGCCUCUGAUUUUGAGUCUUGGCUGCUCAGUUCAAGGAAAUUUGGGUGUUCUUUUCCGUGUAGAUUACAGGAUUUCUCUUAUGGUGAUGAAUGCUUGUUGGGAGGGGGCUUAACGGCUUUCCAAACUCAGCUCCCUAAAAAUCCCUUCUUUGGGAGUCGCUUUGCGUCAGAAGCAGAGACGCCGCUCACAGAACCUUCCACUGGCUCAGAUAUUACAGGACGUAUUAGAAAAGAAGCACAAAACCUUUGUCGGAAUAUUACAGUAUCCAUGUGGUGGUGUUUUUUCUUUAAGCCUCAGCUAUGAGAGUGAAGCAGUGAAUUAAAAUUCAAAUAUUGCCUUUAUAUGUAGUUUGGAGAGAUUAAACUAAUGAAUUUGAAGAAGCUGAGAGGUUGACAGUAUUUCUGGUUAAAUACUCCUUGCUUGAGCUGGUAACUCCUUAACCCAAAAUGAGCAACAGCUGUAAUUCAGCUCAUUGGAGCCACUUGUCAGAAAUAAUGCCCAGAUACAAUUUUUAUUCAUUAGCACUUAGAUCUAUAUAUCCAGUACUUUAAUUGUGGGGGAAAACUUGUGCUAGAUUUUCAGAGUGGCUUCUAGAGGGACGUGAAGAGUAAUGAUGGAGCCGCCUGUCCGAGGAGCUAACGCAGGAUUGGGACUGAAAUAUUCCAGCAGAAGGAGCCGGACUUGUUACUCGCUCUGCAGGUUUUGCUUUGUGUACAAAGAGGACAUUGUUCUUAGAUAGCCAGGCUUGUCACAUCCCACUCGAAUUUCACUCCGUGAUGCAACGCCGAUAAAGCAUCGGUAAUUAUUGUUAGAUCCCUGGCAGUGGAUGUUACACGCUCCCAAGCUCACAAGUUGCAGGCAGAGUCCAAAAGCCACGUUGACUUGCUGGGUGUCUGAGCUGUGUGGGUCAUUCCGGAAUAUUAAUAAUAUGAGGCUUGUUGCAAACGUAACAGCUGGCAAAUGCAAUUUGGUUUUGCAUUUCAA
Long non-coding RNA from Columba livia (rock pigeon), 7705 nucleotides. RefSeq lists it as uncharacterized. The transcript is spliced from 2 exons. The record is from RefSeq and is a predicted model, not a curated record. NCBI's taxonomy places the organism in Eukaryota, Metazoa, Chordata, Aves, Columbiformes, Columbidae.